GGAGAAAUGGCAGAGCGGUCGAAUGCGGCAGUCUUGAAAACUGUUGUACUGCAAGGUACCGGGGGUUCGAAUCCCUCUUUCUCCGCCA
Molecule: transfer RNA, 88 nt
Filed under: Vicingus serpentipes
Lineage: Bacteria; Pseudomonadati; Bacteroidota; Flavobacteriia; Flavobacteriales; Vicingaceae
Also listed under: 3 other names
Description: tRNA-Ser
Rfam family: tRNA
About the family: Transfer RNA (tRNA) molecules are approximately 80 nucleotides in length. Their secondary structure includes four short double-helical elements and three loops (D, anti-codon, and T loops).
Source: RNAcentral